Molecule: ribosomal RNA, 288 nt
Filed under: uncultured Eubacterium sp.
Lineage: Bacteria; Bacillati; Bacillota; Clostridia; Eubacteriales; Eubacteriaceae
Description: partial 16S ribosomal RNA
Rfam family: Bacterial small subunit ribosomal RNA
Source: RNAcentral
UGGGGAAUAUUGCACAAUGGGCGAAAGCCUGAUGCAGCAACGCCGCGUGAGGGAAGACGGUUUUCGGAUUGUAAACCUCUGUUUUCGGUGACGAACAAAUGACGGUAACCGAGUAGGAAGCCACGGCUAACUACGUGCCAGCAGCCGCGGUAAUACGUAGGUGGCAAGCGUUAUCCGGAAUUACUGGGUGUAAAGGGAGCGCAGGCGGGAUAGCAAGUCAGCUGUGAAAACUAUGGGCUCAACCCAUAAACUGCAGUUGAAACUGUUAUUCUUGAGUGGAGUAGAGGC